CUAUUCUAGAUCCUGCCUGUAUACCACCAUGUUCAGUGCCACAAUGGACAGAUCCCCUGAAACUAUAAGGCAGCCCCCAGACCAUCAAUAUCCAGCCUGGCCCGCAGAGUCCAGACUUGAUGCCCCAUCAACGACAUGGCCAUAUCCACUCUCUUUAGAGCUACCUCCUAACUGUUAUGUUUAUCUAGAGAACCCUUACAGACACAGAGAUCAAACAAAAGCAAAGAUAACAAAGAAGCCAGGAGACUAGAACCACAGGUUCCCAGUAUGUGAGCAGCCAUGGUGCUGUGGGGGCCGAGGGCACAGGAGGAGGAUGUGGAGGAAGACCCGUGUCAGCUUCCCAGAUACCUCAGAUAAAGGGAGCCUCCUUCUUCUCGUAAAGAAUGCAGCUGCCUUGCAGAGCCCAUAUCAAAGAGGACGUCUGAGAUCAUCAACUCUCUGAAGUCUCAAAAUGGUGCCCGGUUUGAUUCCAGGCAUCAGCUGAAAUGAAUCCUUCCCUUACGGCCCUUUGUAGCUCUUUGGAUUUUAUUUGCUCUUUUAAUGCUUCCCCCCCCCCCACCAACUUUGCCCUGGCCUAUAUAAAUAUAAAAUAUAAUAACCCAAA
Molecule: long non-coding RNA, 604 nt
Organism: Apodemus sylvaticus (European woodmouse)
Lineage: Eukaryota; Metazoa; Chordata; Mammalia; Rodentia; Muridae
Exons: 2
Source: RefSeq, a predicted model, not a curated record